UACGUAGGUGGCGAGCGUUGUCCGGAUUUACUGGGUGUAAAGGGCGUGUAGGCGGGGAUGUAAGUCAGAUGUGAAAUCCCAUGGCUCAACUGUGGGGCUGCAUCUGAAACUAUGUCUCUUGAGUGCUGGAGAGGAAAGCGGAAUUCCUAGUGUAGCGGUGAAAUGCGUAGAUAUUAGGAGGAACACCAGUGGCGAAGGCGGCUUUCUGGACAGUAACUGACGCUGAGGCGCGAAAGCGUGGGGAGCAAACAGG
Molecule: ribosomal RNA, 253 nt
Filed under: uncultured bacterium
Lineage: Bacteria
Description: partial 16S ribosomal RNA
Rfam family: Bacterial small subunit ribosomal RNA
Source: RNAcentral